GUUGUUGCGAUCGUAAUCCUGCUCAGUACGAGAGGAACCGCAGGUUCAGACCUUUGGUGUAUGUGCUUGGCUGAGGAGCCAAAUGGGCGAAGCUACCAACUGUGGGAUUAUGACUGAACGCCUCCUCCGCAGAUCGGCCAUGAUGGCAGAGACACAUGCUAGUGAUAGUAGCAGU
Molecule: non-coding RNA, 175 nt
Organism: Podarcis lilfordi (Lilford's wall lizard)
Lineage: Eukaryota; Metazoa; Chordata; Lepidosauria; Squamata; Lacertidae
Source: the annotation of a GenBank genome assembly